Molecule: long non-coding RNA, 1367 nt
Organism: Musa acuminata AAA Group (dessert banana)
Lineage: Eukaryota; Viridiplantae; Streptophyta; Magnoliopsida; Zingiberales; Musaceae
Exons: 4
Source: RefSeq, a predicted model, not a curated record
ACGAAAACAAAUUAGAUUAAAUUCUUUUCAGACCCGAGUAAUUGAUGUAAUCUCGAUAAUACGCUGUGAUCAGUGUUUAUAUUAUUUUAUGUCAUUUGGAAAAUUGACUUAAUAAAACAAGAAGUAUGUGGAACCAUAAAUUAGUCCUGUCAAUACGAUGGAUUAGUGUAGCCAUUUGUUCCGCACCGUCAUCUCUGGGGCUUUAUGAUUCGGGCAAACGAUGCUGGUUACUUCGUGUUUCGUUAUUGGAUCAGUGGAGUCAGCCCACGCGACCGGCCCUUUCUCGAGGUCUACUGCUGUGCGCUACCGGUUUGGAGUUAGGGUUAUUUAUCGUCGGCCGUGGAUUGACGGAGAAGGCAGAUGGCGGUCCACAACGGCUGCUGGGUCCUUCUCGGCUAGUACAACGGUGGCAAGUGAGCUCUCGUAUUCGCUUAAUUCCUCUUUCUCUCUUGCUAACUCGAUUCCUUGCAUUUAUCUUUAGAUCUUUUGUUGCCGGAAUCGUCCGUGCUCGAUCCGGAUCCCGGCCAUUGUUAUCAGUUGUGGGAAUCGUUUCGUUCCUGUGUUUCCUACCUUUACCGCUGAAAUCUUGGUGAAAUGAUGCAACUUAGCUUAAUUCUCCAACUCCGAUUAGACUUCCACCAUUUCGGCCCAUGGCGGAUCUUGAAUCACGAUACAUGACAUUGAAUAAAAACAAUUGAAAGACUUCGAGAAGCGAGAAUAAUGUUGCAGCCAACUUUCUCAAGAUCAAACUUAUGCUGCGGAUGGAUCUGUAUAAUUUUUGGCGUCAUUUCAUUUGUGGUAUUUUGUUAUGCUGCAAUAAUAUCCAAGCUUCUUUCAGAAUCAAGAAGUCCGAUAUUAUUUUCCAUUCAAAAUGACUGGUACUAUUGCUUUCUGGUUCCCCUUACACUACCUGUAAUGAUCAUUUUGGUAUAUUUGCAUUGGCUUAGUAUGAAGCUCUUUAAACAUGCGUGAAAAACUCCUUGUUUUCUGCCGCCACUGCAAUAAGUUGCAUACUUUUUGCCCCAAGGCUGGUUUCCCCCCAGAUUUCUAGUUGGACUAAGCAUAUUUCAAAACCAGUGGAGAUUCCUUGGUGAUGCGUGUGGACAUUUACCUUUCAGAGAAAUUGCUGUGAUGUUGAUCUAUUCUACAAAAUGUUACAGGAGGUUGUCAUUUUCAUUAGAGCUUCUAUCGUGCAGAGGUUGAUGAAAAGAACGUAUUUAGUUUGAUUCACCUUACUCUCUCACAUUAUACAAAGAUGCACAACCCCAUUAUUAAUCAGCAACUGGUUCAUUGGUAAAUAUUUGAUUUAAUAUAAUCAUGUGUAUAUGCGAUUGUACUUCUUAUGUUGUAAAGAUGGAUUUGUCAUA